RNAcentral lists this ribosomal RNA (682 nucleotides) under Pseudomonas putida. RNAcentral describes it as "bacterial SSU rRNA". It matches the Rfam family "Bacterial small subunit ribosomal RNA", at positions 82 to 760 of the family's 1533-position model. Lineage: Bacteria; Pseudomonadati; Pseudomonadota; Gammaproteobacteria; Pseudomonadales; Pseudomonadaceae. The record is from RNAcentral.
GCUCCAUGAUUCAGCGGCGGACGGGUGAGUAAUGCCUAGGAAUCUGCCUGGUAGUGGGGGACAACGUUUCGAAAGGAACGCUAAUACCGCAUACGUCCUACGGGAGAAAGUGGGGGAUCUUCGGACCUCACGCUAUCAGAUGAGCCUAGGUCGGAUUAGCUAGUUGGUGAGGUAAAGGCUCACCAAGGCGACGAUCCGUAACUGGUCUGAGAGGAUGAUCAGUCACACUGGAACUGAGACACGGUCCAGACUCCUACGGGAGGCAGCAGUGGGGAAUAUUGGACAAUGGGCGAAAGCCUGAUCCAGCCAUGCCGCGUGUGUGAAGAAGGUCUUCGGAUUGUAAAGCACUUUAAGUUGGGAGGAAGGGCAGUAAGUUAAUACCUUGCUGUUUUGACGUUACCAACAGAAUAAGCACCGGCUAACUUCGUGCCAGCAGCCGCGGUAAUACGAAGGGUGCAAGCGUUAAUCGGAAUUACUGGGCGUAAAGCGCGCGUAGGUGGUUCGUUAAGUUGGAUGUGAAAGCCCCGGGCUCAACCUGGGAACUGCAUCCAAAACUGGCGAGCUAGAGUAUGGCAGAGGGUGGUGGAAUUUCCUGUGUAGCGGUGAAAUGCGUAGAUAUAGGAAGGAACACCAGUGGCGAAGGCGACCAGCUGGGCUAAUACUGACACUGAGGUGCGAGAGC